GACGAACGCUGGCGGCGUGCUUAACACAUGCAAGUCGAGCGGUAAGGCCCUUUUGGGGGUACACGAGCGGCGAACGGGUGAGUAACACGUGGGUGACCUGCCCUCAGCUCUGGGAUAAGCCUGGGAAACUGGGUCUAAUACUGGAUAUGACCUUUCCUCGCAUGGGGUUGGGUGGAAAGUUUUUCGGCUGGGGAUGGGCCCGCGGCCUAUCAGCUUGUUGGUGGGGUGAUGGCCUACCAAGGCGACGACGGGUAGCCGGCCUGAGAGGGCGACCGGCCACACUGGGACUGAGACACGGCCCAGACUCCUACGGGAGGCAGCAGUGGGGAAGUAUUGCGCAAUGGGCGGAAGCCUGACGCAGCGACGCCGCGUGGGGA
RNAcentral lists this ribosomal RNA (377 nucleotides) under uncultured bacterium. Its description in RNAcentral is "bacterial SSU rRNA". It matches the Rfam family "Bacterial small subunit ribosomal RNA", at positions 28 to 407 of the family's 1533-position model. The record is from RNAcentral.